AAUUAAGUGGAAAAAACAUGAGGUAUGUUAUUCUAAUUUUUUAUUAUUUUGAUGCAUUUAUAUUGAUGCUUAUUAAAAUUAAUAUGUAAUAUGACUAAUUGUAUAAUUACCUCUAUGAACAAGUGUCCUCGUCAAUCCCAAGAAUCUUUGGACUGUGGAUAUUAUAUAUGUCGAUAUAUGCUCGAGACUAUAGAGAAAAGGCGACAAGUGAUUCCUGAUAAGUACUUUGGCGGAGUUACAACUGAAUUUCCUCAAAACAAGCUUGACGAGUUGAGAGACUUAUGGAUCAAAUACGUGGAGGAAUAUAAACAAGCGGAAGAAGUGGAAUCUGAAGAAAGUGUCGAUUUUGAUUAGGUGUUAAGCAGGAUUAGAUAGGUAAUUAGUUAGAACAAUGAGUUGAUUAAUUUACUCUGCAUAUGAGUUGAAAGAAAUAAUGGCUGCUUUAGGUAUCUUUUGAGAAGUUGAUUUUUUGAAUCUUCAUAUAUCGAUAUUAUUUUGUAAUGAAUUAUGGUAUUGCAUUAAUGAAAUUUUUGUCAAGUUAUAUAAUAA
Long non-coding RNA from Beta vulgaris subsp. vulgaris (sugar beet), 549 nucleotides. RefSeq lists it as uncharacterized. The transcript is spliced from 2 exons. The record is from RefSeq and is a predicted model, not a curated record. NCBI's taxonomy places the organism in Eukaryota, Viridiplantae, Streptophyta, Magnoliopsida, Caryophyllales, Amaranthaceae.